This 348-nucleotide ribosomal RNA is filed under the name uncultured bacterium. Its description in RNAcentral is "partial 16S ribosomal RNA". It matches the Rfam family "Bacterial small subunit ribosomal RNA", at positions 338 to 703 of the family's 1533-position model. The record is from RNAcentral.
CCUACGGGAGGCAGCAGUGGGGAAUAUUGCACAAUGGGGGAAACCCUGAUGCAGCGACGCCGCGGGAGUGAAGAAGGAGUUCGGGAGGGAAAGCUCUAUCAGCAGGGAAGAAAAUGACGGUACCUGAGUAAGAAGCCCCGGCGAACUACGGGCCAGCAGCCGCGGUAAUACGGAGGGGGCAAGCGUUAGCCGGAUUUACGGGGUGAAAAGGGAGCGGAGCCGGCAGCACAAGUCUGGAUUGAAAUGCCGGGGCUUAACCCCGGAACUUCUUUGGAAACGGUGCAGCUAGAGUGCAGGAGAGGUCAGUUGACUUCCUCGUGUAGCGGUGCACUGCGUAGUUCUUAGGAG